AGUGAACGCUGGCGGUAGGCCUAACACAUGCAAGUCGAACGGCAGCACAGUAAGAGCUUGCUCUUACGGGUGGCGAGUGGCGGACGGGUGAGGAAUACAUCGGAAUCUACUUUUUCGUGGGGGAUAACGUAGGGAAACUUACGCUAAUACCGCAUACGACCUACGGGUGAAAGCAGGGGAUCUUCGGACCUUGCGCGAUUGAAUGAGCCGAUGUCGGAUUAGCUAGUUGGCGGGGUAAAGGCCCACCAAGGCGACGAUCCGUAGCUGGUCUGAGAGGAUGGUCAGCCACACGGGAAGUGAGACAGGGUCCAGACUCCUACGGGAGGCAGCAGUCGGGAAUAUUGGACAAUGGUCGCAAGCCUGACCCAGCCAUACCGCGUGGGUGAAGAAGGCCUUCGGGUUGUAAAGCCCUUUUGUUGGGAAAGAAAAGCAGCAGGUUAAUACCCCGCGGUUCUGACGGUACCCAAAGAAUAAGCACCGGCUAACUUCGUG
RNAcentral lists this ribosomal RNA (492 nucleotides) under uncultured bacterium. RNAcentral's name for it is "partial 16S ribosomal RNA". It matches the Rfam family "Bacterial small subunit ribosomal RNA", at positions 29 to 507 of the family's 1533-position model. The record is from RNAcentral.